UCCUGUCUCUCUGUCUCUCUCUCUCUCUCUCUCUUUCUAUUUCUCUGCGAUUCGUCUCGCCGAUCACGCGUUCGCGAGAGAAAGAGGACGGAUCCUCGAAGAGAUCGCAGGAUCGCCGCGUCUUACCUCGGAGAGUCGAGCUCGGCGGACACGCGCGCGUGUUUCCGAGAAAAUCGGAAGAAAGAAGAAGCGGACCGCGGCGAGGCGCGAGUUCAGCGAAGCCGCCGAUCGGGGGAGUUCCGAUCCCGCGAGCGGCGCUCGCAGUUGCGUGCGAGACGCCGUCGAGGUGACUACGUGCGAGGUGACCCGAGCGAGGUAGCGUUUUUCACGAGGCGCUCUCGUGUACUCUUACAUGUUUACGGAGAACUGAUCCGAUCGCCUGUCGCACACAUACACACACGUAUACACGCACAAGUCCGCGAUUAUUAUAUUCGUUUGGCAGCAAACAUAAUAAACGCGCGCGCGAACACACCGGUGACUUAAUCUUCUCGCAUCGAAACUCCUCGGUGUGCCCUGUGGACGAUUCACACUCAUCACUCGGCGACAACUUGGAUAAAGCAGUGACGCAACCGCUCCUGUUCGCAAAGGAAGGAAAAGUUCGCGAUGACGGUGUAACGGCGCGGUUUCCAAGUCAAGCCUCACCUUGCCGUCUCAGCUAACGUCAUCUCUCUCUUUCUCUCUCACACCCGGUCUCGUCUCGUCGCUACUGACGCGUGUGUGCGUACGCGCGCGAUACCGCAAACGAACGGACGUACGAUGGUGUGCGUGAGAUCGCGCGUGCUGAUCGUUCACGGACUCGGCAGCAGCCUGUAGCAAACUGGUGGUGGUGGUGGUGGUGGUGGUGGUGGUAGUAGUGGUAUUCGUACAAAAGAAGACAGAGGAAAAGGGACCUGCUUUCUCGUCGCCGAAACGUUCCGACUGCACAAUGCAGCCCUUCAAAAAUUUAUCAAGGCGACGGAUCAUCAGCGAGAUAGGUGAGUAA
RNAcentral lists this long non-coding RNA (982 nucleotides) under Pogonomyrmex barbatus (red harvester ant). RNAcentral's name for it is "uncharacterized LOC112552449, transcript variant X1". Lineage: Eukaryota; Metazoa; Arthropoda; Insecta; Hymenoptera; Formicidae. The record is from RNAcentral.